Non-coding RNA from Halocaridina rubra (Hawaiian volcano shrimp), 72 nucleotides. The record is from the annotation of a GenBank genome assembly. Lineage: Eukaryota; Metazoa; Arthropoda; Malacostraca; Decapoda; Atyidae.
ACCUUGCGGUGUAAUGGAUAGCACACUCGGCUCACUACCGAGAGAUCUCAGGUUCGAAUCCUGGGCUAGGAA